This is a non-coding RNA of Potamilus streckersoni, 73 nucleotides long. NCBI's taxonomy places the organism in Eukaryota, Metazoa, Mollusca, Bivalvia, Unionida, Unionidae. The record is from the annotation of a GenBank genome assembly.
GAUCCGGUGGCCUAGUUGUUAGAGCAUCCGCCUUGGAUGUGGGAGGUUAUGGGUUCAAAUCCUGAGUGAGUCA